UCAUGUUGGGUACCAAGGCCUGUAGUCCCAGAAUGACUAUUGCCUAGACAAUAUCGGGGCACCAUUGACUCAUGACCUGUUUGGUGAAAAAAGUUAUUAGGGCAGGCUGGGAGAGCCUUGUCUUUGUGUUUGAGUGUACAUUCGUAAGGAUAAGGCCCAGACCAUGCUAGGUUGAGAGGCUGCAGUACCCUGAGGAAAACCUGAAUCUUCCAGAGAAGCAGCAUCCAUCUGCCCCUCCUCAACCUCCACGAUGUCCACAUGCCUCCUGAGAACUGAAGCUCUCUGGCGAAGUUGCAUCCCAUGUUAAAGAUCCUCUGUUGAAGCCAAGCAUGCACAGAGGGACACAGAGUAAAUUAUUAACUUGAGUAGAAACAGGAAUGAGAAUAGAACUUGGGGAACUCACACAGGCCUGGCCAGUACCCAUCCUCAGCUAUGGCUCCAGGUACCUCCUGCCUAUAAUUUCUGUUUUGAGACUGGGUCUUGCUAAGUUGCCUGGGCUUUAACUCACAGGCUCUGUAGCCAAAGCCAGACUUGAACUUGCUCUCCUACUGCCUCAGCCCUUUGAGCAGCUGGGAUUACAGGGAUGUGCUAACA
This is a long non-coding RNA of Mus musculus (house mouse), 594 nucleotides long. RefSeq annotates it as predicted gene 28375. The transcript has 3 exons. Lineage: Eukaryota; Metazoa; Chordata; Mammalia; Rodentia; Muridae. The record is from RefSeq and is a predicted model, not a curated record.